UAACACAUGCAAGUCGAGGGGUAGAGGAAGCUUGCUUCCUUGAGACCGGCGCACGGGUGCGUAACGCGUAUACAAUCUACCUUUUACAGAGGGAUAGCCCAGAGAAAUUUGGAUUAAUACCUCAUAGUAUUUUCGAAUCGCAUGGUUUGAUUAUUAAAGUUCCAACGGUAAAAGAUGAGUAUGCGUCCCAUUAGCUAGAUGGUAAGGUAACGGCUUACCAUGGCAAUGAUGGGUAGGGGUCCUGAGAGGGAGAUCCCCCACACUGGUACUGAGACACGGACCAGACUCCUACGGGAGGCAGCAGUGAGGAAUAUUGGACAAUGGGCGCAAGCCUGAUCCAGCCAUGCCGCGUGCAGGAAGACGGUCCUAUGGAUUGU
RNAcentral lists this ribosomal RNA (377 nucleotides) under Bacteroidetes bacterium '14.5 MW-30'. RNAcentral describes it as "bacterial SSU rRNA". It matches the Rfam family "Bacterial small subunit ribosomal RNA", at positions 49 to 426 of the family's 1533-position model. The record is from RNAcentral. Lineage: Bacteria; Pseudomonadati; Bacteroidota.